CUGGUAAAUCCAUAUUUACGAAUUCAUCUCCAAGUCCAGUUGCUCCUUCUUGUGGGUCCGUCUCAUCUGGGACAUCGUUAGGGGCGUCACCUCAGCCUUCCGGACAGGGAAUUGGUCUUCGCCUAGCUGUUUGGACAGUGUUCCAAAUUUGGAGGAAGUGGGGACAGUCUCGUCCCAGUACCACAGGGUAAGGCAACUGCUCAACCACUCUGACAGUUGAACGGUAGGUCCCCUGUUCCGUAGAGAUGCUAAUUUCUACCGUCGGAUAGACCUUGUGAAUGCAAGUAAUGGGUAUCCCCUCUGUUCCCCGGAUCUCCAGUUCUCCAGGAAGUAUUGUAGGGGUCACCAGGGUCACAGUACUGCCAGAGUCCAACAAGGCCUCGACAGGUUCUCCCCCAUCUCGAUUUUCAUAAGAUGGGGAUCCUCGCGGGUUGGGACCUGUGCUGUAAGGUAGUUACACUUGGCUUCAUCUCUGGGGUCUACCUGCAUGGGUUCGGACAGGCCGGGGCAAUGGCUGACUAAAUGCCCUUCUUCCUGACAAUUAAAACAUCGGGUUUCUUUCCAUGGUCGGGGCCUUGAGUCUGAUCUGUCCCUAAGGGGUUUCUUAAACUGUGAAGGCCCUCGAUAAUCACUGUACUUUAUCGGCCGAUACUUCAUUUCGGUUUCCAGACUCUUGGGGCUUCUUCUCUCCUCUUUUCGAAAGUCCCCCUUUUCCUCCCUAAUCAGGGGCUCUGUAGCAUGGUGUCUGUCCACUAAGCCCACUGCCUGAUCUAGUGUCUGGGGAUCCCCACCACUUUCCUUCUCAGAUGAACAGGUAGACUCCUCACAAAGUGAUCCAACACCACCCUUUCUUCCACCUGUCCUGGGUUUAAUUCUUCUGGCUGGAGCCAUUUCUUUGCCAGAUGUAUGAGGUCAAACAUCUGAGACCUCGUAGGCUUGUCCAUUUGGUAUCUCCAAUUGUGAAACCGGACCGCCCGUAUUGCCAUGGUUACCCCUAGUCUUGCCAAAAUCUCCUUUUUCAGAGUCUCAUAAUUCUCUGCAUCUUCUUCAUAAUAGGCCUUUUGGGCUUCUCCAAUUAAAUAAGGCGCUACUCUCCCGGCCCAUUGCUCCUUGGGCCAUGCAUUUCGAGAUGCAGUUCUUUCAAAUAUGGUUAAAUAAGUCUCCACAUCAUCAAGUUCUGUCAUCUUUUGUAGCCCAAUUUGUUCAGCCUGAACAGUGUCUCUCCCUGUUACUGGGGUCUGCCUGAAUUCUUCCCCUAAUCUUUGCAAUUCUUCUCGUACUAAUUUCUGCCCCUCUAUAAUUUGUUCGUUAGUUUUGGUUUGAAUUUGAUUUGCCUCCCGUUGAGCUUGGAUAGCUUCUUGCUGUCCUUUUAAAGCCUGAAACUGGGCGAGGGUGGCCUGGGACAAUUGCUGUAUUAGCUGUUCCAUUGUUUUUCUCCACACACACAAAGCGAAACCCACACAGCGAGUGCCCGCAUCCUCCACCAAUUGUGGUGUCGCCAGGGGAAAACAGGUGUAAAAGAGAUGUAACUCACACCACACUGAUCUUCUUUGUCCUUCGUCCGUAUGUUUCCCAAGUCCGUUCCGUAAUCCGUUGCCAGUAUCCUUAAACGAUCCAAAUUUCCGAGCCCGUAUGUCCAAACUAAAGGACACUCCCAAAGGAAAGAAAAAUGUUUUAUUUCUGUAGUUCUCUGUAGGAUAUUGCUUUGAACAUCAUAAACUACAGAGUGCUUCCAGGAACAAAAUACCAGCAAGAAUGAAACUGGACUUGUAAUGUCUAGGAUGCACUAGAAGCUGGAAACCUGAAAUGGCUCUAGAGAAGGUGAUCUCUGUGCACUUUGGUACCCAAAGUGAUUGUGAGCAAAUUGAGUCUCUAGAUUACUUUGUAAAGAGGAAAUGAAUGAUAUUGUUGUGUACUGAUAUGGAUGUGUAGAUUGGCAUCAUGAGGAACAAAUGAAAACAAACAUUGUUACUUUAAAACUCAGGUUACUCUGAUCAGGUAGGGAGCCAGAUAAUUCUGUCAGCUCUCGAGUCUGGCACUUCCUUUUUCAGAACAGCUAAACUCAAGUGUCAGGCACUGUACUUCUAAGGUCAACUGCAAAGGCAGAUUUUAGGGAAGAGGAAAAGAAAGCUGAUAGAUUCAUUAUUGAAGAACUGAAACUUACAAGUGAGCAGUAUAUGAAGUUUUAAAAGAAUGUUUGGAAGGAGGUCAAAGUCCAAUCUCAUCACGUCUGCCCGUGUUUAAAUCUCAUAUUUAUAUCUUGCUUGUGUGUUUUGUUUCACAUGAUGCGUGCAAGUCUUCACCUGUUCGAAGGGACCCCAAACUCCAGAGCAAGCCGCUGAACUCUACCCCGCAUCUGACGCUGAAUUUCUCCCAGUGUCAUCAUUCCUGAGAACUGCAAUCUCCUGUCUCUCCUACAUGUCUGCUCACUAUUCCCGUUUUUCCAUUAUUCCAGCCUCUGUCUACCUCUAUCCAGCUACACCAGUUGGCUCACACCUCCUAGAGCUGCCCAAUCCAUCUGUCUGAGGCUCUUCUCCUAACAUGACACGUCAGGUCAGCCACACCAGUCCAGCCUUUCCCAACCUUUCUCCACACCACGGACAACAGCCUACUCCCCCUGUGGCCUCACUGCCCUCUCCUUCUUCCUCAUGCCAUCCUGCUGACCACAGCACCUCCACAAGCACAGCACACCCGGGUCCAGCUUCUGUGAAUCCCUUCUUCCCCUCCGCCGUCCCCUUCUGCCCCACUGGUUCCCUUCUCCUUUCUUCUCUUUUCAUCUGUCUGAAGACAACAAUUUCAUGAAGAAGCUCACAGGUGGAGCUGUUGACCAUCAGCUCCUCAGCCAAUGCAAGUCUGUGAUUUACCAAGAAAGCAGAGUUUGGAUCUGAAAGAGGAGCAGUUAAAUACCUCAUACAGUAUAAGCAGGGUAUUAGAUUAGUGGAGACAAUGCCAGACUAUUCGUGGCAGAGUUUGAUGUGAAGUUAGAGAGCUGCAAUCAGGAGUCGGAUGUGAAGUGACAACAAUCGAAGAGAGUAUGUUGAUCAGGAAGCAAAAAAGGUGUGAGCAGCUUACUGAGUUGUCCUAGCACAAUAAGCACUAGGAUACAUUGGACUUAAGGGAAUUGGAGUUGAAUGUUCUCAAUAAAAUCCAAGACCUGAACCAACAACACUACAUUAUCAUUAGAGUUCCCUCAUUAAUUUCUUUCAAUAUGCACAUCUGUGAGUGUGGCAUAAAUGUGUAGUGUUAUGGCUCUCUGCAUUUUGACAGGUCCAUGACAGCUGUGUGUCUCACCAGUGUGAUAAAAUGAUGCUUAAUAACAUUUUAAAGCAAAAAGUAUUCAUUCCCUCAGUCUACAGAUAUAUGAACAGUUAAUGAACAGGCCUCCAUUACAAAAUUAACUAUUGAAAUGUUGUUGCAUUAUGUACGUUUAGAAAACGUUUUCUUAAUGGUUAUAAAUGUCACACUUAUUAACAGCAUCUGUUGUUGAUUGCUGUUGAUUUAGCAGCAGGUUGGAAGUCCAGAGCCAAGCUGGAACCUUUCUGCAGCCCUGCCACAGGGAAGAUCGUGCUGACAGCUGUGGACUCAGGGAAGAGUGAGCAUGUGAGCCUCAUCAAGACCUCUUUCACUGGGGCUCAUGCAUGGACUUGCCCAACAGGUGUUGGCUGUGCAGUUUCUCUCCAUGGUAAAAACAAACACUGCUGUUUUUCUCAGUAUCACCUCAUAGCAUCAUAUUUAUUUUAUAUUAAGAUAUGCUGUUUCUAUUCUUAUCAAGUCAUCUUCAAAAUCUUCGAAUCAAUAAUUAUUUGCCGUGGAAAAUUGUCUGUAGAAACAUGUCUCGUCCAAACAGGUACAUUUCAUUAUUGCCAUUAAUGCCUUAUUUCUUACUUUCUGAUCUCACGUUAACUCUUUUAUCUCUCAACUUACCAAGAUUACAGGUAAAAAAUGCAUCCCCCGUCACCUGCACUUUAGAUCGAAGGCUGUUACAUUGUCUGGAUCACUUGUGCUCCUCCUUCCUUCACCACUCUACCGAGUGAGACCUGGGAGCACCGGUAUGUGCUGAGCAUGUUUCUGCUCAAUGCAGCUGUGUUUUAGGUUGGAGUCAGUGUUUUUACAGUUUUGAGGCUCGAGGGAACAGACUACUGUUGCAGCAGAUUCACCUGGACCCUUACGAAAUGCCUUGACGAUUAAAACAUUUGCUCCCAAAAGAGAAGGUUCAGAAUGAGGUGGUGGUAUUAGUUAAGUGCUGACUUCCAAAUUAGCAAGAUGGGUGGCCACCUCUUGUUUGUAAUCUUUUUUUGUUUAUGCUCUCUUUCAGACCACCCAAGCUUUCAGAUUCCAGUCCAACGGUGCUCAAGUGCGAACAAUAUGUCCGUGCUUUUUUGUCCAGAGGAGACGUCUCUCUGCCUGGAGUGUGCUCGGAAGUCACUCCCCUUGUCAACGGUGUGUGCUCGAUACUCGUCGUUCCCUCUCGUUGAGGCGUGUUGAGUAAGUGUUUCAGGCCCCAGUCUGACAGCAUCUCCACACUCCAAAACAGUGAGGUGUGGACAACAAUGACAGGGGGGAACAAACAGAUGGCAACACUAGAGAGCAGCCCCUUCAAGACCCUGUCCUGCAGGGAAACCUUCCCCCCAGGACUGGUGUCUGUGGAGUUGUGUCCCUGGAGUGUACUUGUGUGAGCCAUCUGGAGCUGCGUGGCUGUCCCAACCCUCUGUUUCUCCCUCUGUGGGUCUGGCAGGCCAAUGCGUGCUUCUGUGAAAUAUCCUACGUGAGUUGCAAUGUCGGGUUUUCCAGCUGCAGCGUGCUUGAGCUCCACCUCAUCGCUUAAGCAGCCAGUGAACAAAUGUGUAGCAGCAGUGUGUGCUUUCACUACGUGUACACUAUAUAGUGUGUCUCCCCAUCGCACACCAUGUGUGUUGUAGACAAUGAGCCCUCUCUCAUGGUCUGUCAGGGAGCCUGCCUGCCCUGUCUGGCUGUCCGUCAGGCUCCCUCGAAGUGCUCUCAGGCUCAGUGUGAGGACGAGGCACAGAGCAAGAGUGGGCAGGAUCAGGCUGGGAUUGCACAGGGGUCGUAAGGUCGCAGUGAUCAGGUUAGGGAGGCAGACAGAGAGAGAGCCACCAUCCCAGAGACAGUCUUCCACCAGGUCCUGCUCCAGACCCCACUGUUGCCAGCCAUGGAGGGCAGACAGGAUCCAGACCAACAGGCAACAUAGCAACCCAGGAAAGUGUACCACAGACUCUCUGUCUCCAUCCACGUGCCCUUUUCCUUUCUUUCUCCUAUUGUGAUUACAGCCUUUUGUCCAAUCUUUCUCCUGUAUCGUGCCAUGGCCUCCCUGUUUUCUUGUCUCUCUCUCUUCUUGUCCCUCCAGCCAUGGGAGGGGCCAGAGCAGCCUGCAGACUGUCUCUACAGUGAUGAGGGGUGUGGUCAGAACCAGUAUGGCCCCGUAGGUGUGGCCAAGGAAGAGCAGGAAGCGCAGGGCGAUGAUGUCACCGGACACAGGAAAACGUGGCAUCCACUGGUCAGCCAGCCAGAGCAAAGCCAAGAAGGCUGAAGAGAGAGAAAGGGGAGGCACUGCAGGUGUUAGCACACAGAUAAGGGGAAAUGCCACAAUUCACAAACACAUGGGGGUUAGAAAGUCAUCACCGUGAGCAUGAUUCUUUCAGAUUGUGUGUUUCCAGAGCUCAUGGCUGUGAACCCCGUGACCACAGGGGAGAAGGAGGACGUGUGGGUGACUCCUUCAGUCCAGCCUCCUUCCUACACAUCACAGGCCUCACGGCCACAGGGCGUGUCCCUCAGCGAUAGCACUGCCAGCCUGCAAGCACCUAGGAGGCCACAGGAGGGCGCUGUGUUGCCAAGGCCUAAGAGAGCCCUGGACGACUGGUCCCAACCUUGUCCUCGGCCGGGUUCUGCUUAUUGUGCGCCACCGCUGGGGAGUCCCAGUGACUGAUAGUGUAGCAACUUUCAAUAAGCACACGUAAGUGAACCUCGGCACUCUUUACUGUAACCUACUGAACAGUUAGAAACGAGCUCUCCGGCGGCAGUGCAGCGUGCUUGCCUACACUCACUUCACUAGCAAAAGACAACCGGCAGAUCUGGAUCUGACAUCAAGCAACACUUAAUCUUUAUGUUACAAUAACCUACAACAGCCAGCAAAGUGAUUUGACCCUGGUUUGAACUCGCGCCACCUGGAUUAUUCAACUCAACACUCAGAUGGGUGAGGGGAUGUGUCGUUACCAGCUGAGCUACAGGAACUUGUCACAGUUCAGUUUGAGUAUGGCAGGAAAAACGCCACCGUCGUUCAUUUUAGAUAAUUAACCUUAACUCAAGUAUGUCUUGCACUUUAGCAAUAGUAUUUUUUUUGUUCUCAUACAGAAAUAAAGACACAGAAGUGUUUUUCAGCAUGCGCUCAGCUUAUCGAUUAGUGUUCAAAAUGACCGAUUUGGAAACAUCAGCUCAACUGCAGGGUUUUCCCCCACCCCCCCCCCGAGUCCGAUUCGAUCAGAUCUCAGAAUGCAGGCUCGGCCCGGGUGGGUACUGUACUUAUGUAACGGAUGAAGCGAGUCUCCUCCUGUAAGCAUGGAACAUUGGGAACCUUUGGGAUGAAAAGAGCUACAUAAAAGGCUUUUUUCCUAAAAAAAAAACGUUGUGGUGCCAGCAAGGCAAAAGCUGUGUUGCGCAGUAAGGAAUUGAAAUUCAAGUCGCCACGCAGUUUCCAGGCCUGCGAAGAACUGUUUGGAAAAAUUGAAAAGCACUCUGCCGCUCCAGUAUUUCACGGCUCACAUCAUCCCUGUCAGUUUGUUUUGUUUGAAGCUGAAACAGCCGAGCUGGAAAAGCAGGCACCUUUUGUCUCCUGUUCACAGGUGUUAUUCUGUGAUACAAGUACAAGGAAAGAAAGGCACGGGUUCCAUUCACAUCGCCCUCUUUAGUCAGGCAGCUAGUUUUGUCCUUUUGGCAUUUAUUUAAUCUCUGCCGUUUUUUUCAUGACAUGUGAAAAUGGUACAAAGGUACACAUCUCAUCCCUGUAUGCAGAUAAGAGAUUAUCAGAUAUUCUGAGCCCAGUGUGAGAGAAGACAUCAUAGACCAUUACUAUCUGAGCUGCUUGUCAUUCUUACUAUACACUUAUCACACCCAAGCAAGUUUCAGUACUCCAAACUGCUUUGUUUCUUUGUUCUGCUUUGCUCAUCACAUAUCAUGUUCUUAGUGGUACCCAACUGGUUUGGAACUGCAAGCUUUUUAACAACGCAUCUUACUGCUGCAGCCCCAGCUCUACACAGAGAGUGAGGGCCUGGAGACACACUGAUCUGUGAGAGCCACUUGGCAUUUAUCUUGCUGAAAGCUUUAUCACAGUGCUGUACAAGAGGGUGAGUACUGAUUGGAAUAGCAGUGUGUCGCUCGCUGAUGUCACAGCAUGAAGCUGUGGAAACCCUGGCUAGCACAAACUUAGAGGCUCUUGGUUAACCGUGUACCAUCAUCGAUCAUAGUAACCUAAUAUAACAUGGCCCCAGGCUCAAACUAGUAACACCUUCACCGAACAUCUCCAAUACUGCUCAUGGUUUCCCCACAGUCGUCUACCGACCAAGCAGGUCGCCUGGCCAAACAAAUGUGUGAACGCUGACAAAACGUUACAAGAAUCCAUGUUGGAAAAACUGCUUUGCAGUGAAACACCUCAAGAUAAUUCGUGAGCCAGCAGCAUCUACGGUACAUAAUCACACAGCUGUCAAGCCUCACCCGUUGGUACCACAUCCACAUUUUGGUCUGAAAAUCUCACUUAUUUGCCUCAAGUCUAGUCUGAUUAAAGGAAAUGAAGUAAUAAACAUAAAAUUGGGCAAUUACCAUAGAGACUCGCCAUUCCUUUAAUUAACCAGUUUUUUUUUUCCUGUGUGAGGUAAAUAUAAAGCUGAAUCAUCGGGUCACAGACAGUAAUUGUGUGUCUUUCGUUGCUCGUGACAGCUGCCGAGAGCCAUCAUGUGUGAAGAAUCAUCAGGGGAAGGGAAGCCACUUCAUUAACAACGUGAAAAUUUUUGUUUUUGCCUCAAACGAGUGAAAAAUAAUAAACAGCACCUCAGUAGCAAGUGGAACAGAAAUAAUUGUUUUAAUUGAGCAUUAAAAUGAAAACAUACAAUUGACCCCAGAAGUGAAUAAUUUUAUGGUGACCUCUACAUAUAUUUCCUGGACUGAGGCUCAGCCACACCAGGGAUGGCGACACCAAGCCUGGAACAAAUGACCCAGCCUCCUCCCUGAAAAUGACACUAAUCGAGUCGUUCAGGGGUCCCAUUUUUUCUACUUUUCAGGUAAAUCAGAAUGGAUCCCGAAACACUGAGAUCUCAAACAUCGCUCUGCUAGCGCCCGAUAGAUCUGAUCAAGAGUUGUGUCUGCAUUAAACUUUGGUUCCUUUUCCUAAAAAAUGCAGACUGAAAAAUCGAUGGUCUGGACUGGUGAUUUUGCAUUUGACUCAAAGGAAUCUGAAUUUCUGGAAAAGAAGGACUGAAUUGACCUGUUUAAAACCCUCAUUUAUGUUUUUUGAUGUUGAAGGACUCUGAUAAAGGGGGCAAAAAGUGGCCUUCGUUUAAUGUUUCAUUUUCAGCCCUUUUCAGUGGUGAUUUUAAAGGGUGACUGCAGUAAGAGUUCAAGAUGAUCAUCUCAUGUAAUAUGCGUGUGUGCAAUAAGAUUAUAGGCUUGGAUAAGACGUGAACUAAGAGGAUGUGUCUCACAGAGACUAAAUGAAAAAAAAAAACAGACCAGAUAGCUCCUGUGACAUGUCUUUGUGGCCUUUUCGUAUAUUGACCUUCAGUGUUUCAACCCUUGCACAUACUGUAGCUGUAUUUGGGUAAGUAAGAGUGUCAAUUCCCCACAAAAGUCCCUUCAAACUGGACAGCAGUGGAAGAUUCAGUGUAACAGAUUGGUCUUGCAGAUCCACAGCAGAAAUGCCUUUCUAGAUCUGGCUAAUCCUGGGAGUCAUUUCUUUUUUAUGUGCAUAGUAGAAACCUGGAGAAUACCUGGUCCUCUUCUUGGGGUAAUUAUUUUGUUUUUUCUUGAACAUGCAAGCUUUUGCAGUUGAACACUUGUGCAUCGCACUUAAAGUUCUUAUUUAUAGUGCCAGAUUUCCCAUUAGGCUCUGUUGGCACAGUACCUAGGGCCUACGAAGGAGGAAAACACUAUAUGAAAUAACAAGCUUGCGAUCGACUCUAGGUGCUCCAAAUCAAUAAUCAUACGCUAUCUAGCGGCUGUUCUAGAAACUAGAAGUAUCGAAGUGAUUGUCGCUUGGCUUGCUCCAUCAAUCAAGUGGUUUAGCACCAGAAUAGUUUAAAAUGCAGCAUGUCAAUCAACGUAAUUCAAUUGGUGUUUACCCUUCUUUUUGCACAUUUCGGAGUGAAAGUGCCUAUGGCCUACGACCGGUCCUGCUUAUUUGUGAGAGUCAUGCACCCUUUAGAUAAAUAUUAACCACCUGUCCUUGUGUGCCUACUGUGCUUUGGAAUGUAGAUCCACAGAUUGUUUGAUACACAGGCUUUUACAGAGAGUAAGAGAAGCACUAGAGAAUACGUCAUUUAUUUUCGUUCGUUCGUGACACAAAAUUAAUAUCACUGUGAUGCAAAUUUUAAUUUCAGUAACUGCAAUGCCUCAGGGGGGUUCAGAGAGGAAAUGUGUAUUUCUGAACUCCACAUUUUAAUCACAAACCUUCACAGUAUGAACUAAGGAACCUGUAAUGUCCAGCACCUGGUUCUCCAGGCAGGAAAACCUCAGAAUUUCCCCAAACCCCUCUUCAGUUGCAGUCUUAUUUGCAUCCCUGCAAUUUCAAGACAUGAAACAGAAACUCUGGCUCUCUCACUUCGACUGUGGUACUUUUUUUUUAGAAAAUGAUGUUUUUUCAUGGUUUUUUGGUACAAAGAAUUUUUUUCGGAAAUGCUUGAGGAGACACAUCAGCAGAAAUUAUCUGCUGACCCCUGGUUAGAACAGUUUAGCACCAGAGAUGACUAAUUAUGCUCUUGCAGCCUUCUUACGUUUUACAUUUAUUGCUAUUAAGCCAACCCCAUAUAUUUUGAAGCUAGCUGGUGACACUGCAAGUGCAUUUGAUAAAAAAUGUAGAUAUGCGACAGCAGAUUUUAUAUGGAGAAUAAAAAACGAGUACCUUCUCUGAUAGUCAGAGAAAGUUAUUUUCCUCUACAUAUAAACAAGUACAUCUUUAAAGUAUUUAUAAAAAAUUUGAUUUAUUUUUGUGUUCAAUAAAGGUGGUUUAAAAAACAACUGAAAUGUUUAGGUUAUUUUUUCAAAUAUUGUACUGGAUCGUACCAAAUGUAGUCUAACAGCUGUGCAUUAAAGAUAAGAUAUACUCAUGUUUGGUCAGUGUUUUAUAGUUUACUUCUGCUGCGCUUCAAAUUCAAAUAACUUUGUGCCAGGUUUGAAUACAAUGCAUAGGACAACAUUAAUUUGUGGUGGA
Lepisosteus oculatus (spotted gar) is the source of this 10432-nucleotide non-coding RNA. Lineage: Eukaryota; Metazoa; Chordata; Actinopteri; Semionotiformes; Lepisosteidae. The record is from RefSeq and is a predicted model, not a curated record.